AUCUGGGCGGCGGAAUUCAGGAUGACGGGCGGCGUGUCUAUGCGCGUCGUCCGUCGUUUGAUAUUUCCGUCGCCGUCACACAGACGUCGCGACCCGUUUGUCGUCGGUCCCUGUUCGAAGGGGUCGCGUUCGAGCUCGUUGUGGGUACGCGUUAACGCGCGUACCUCACGGCGAAGGCGCGACUUUACCGGCCGACGACGGACGGUACGUACAAGGGUGUCCGACGCCGUUACGUACUCGUACACGCGGUCGUCGGUACCGGUCGGCGACGAAUUCUUCGGGCCUCUUUCCGACCCGUCUUGAAACACGGACCAAGGAGUCUAACAUGCGCGCGAGUCGCGGGGUGUCGAGCGUACCACGGUGCGCUCGUUACAUUACGAAACCCGUGUACAUGUAGAAGGCGUAAUGAAAGUGAAUGGGGAAGAUGGUGUUUCCGAGUUCACGUUCCGCGAUCGUCGGUAUCGCGGCCGGACACCCGCAUUCCCGGGGCGUCUCAACGGUGCGUCGUGCAACGCGGAUCAUCGACUCACGGGUCGGUGGUCGGUUCGCGAAAGAACCGA
Molecule: ribosomal RNA, 560 nt
Filed under: Leucaspis pusilla
Lineage: Eukaryota; Metazoa; Arthropoda; Insecta; Hemiptera; Diaspididae
Also listed under: 1 other name
Description: eukaryotic LSU rRNA
Source: RNAcentral